GACGAACCGUGCAAACGUUAUUCGGAAUCACUGGGCAUAAAGGGCGCGUAGGCGGCUUCAUAAGUCAGGGGUGAAAUCCGGCAGCUUAACUGUCGCAGUGCCUUUGAUACUGUGGAGCUCGAGGGAGGUAGGGGUCUGUGGAACUUCCGGUGGAGCGGUGAAAUGCGUUGAUAUCGGAAGGAACGCCGGUGGCGAAAGCGACGGACUGGAUCUCUUCUGACGCUGAGGCGCGAAAGCUAGGGGAGCGAACAGG
RNAcentral lists this ribosomal RNA (253 nucleotides) under uncultured bacterium. Its description in RNAcentral is "partial 16S ribosomal RNA". It matches the Rfam family "Bacterial small subunit ribosomal RNA", at positions 524 to 776 of the family's 1533-position model. The record is from RNAcentral.